UUGAAUUGUGGUCUAGACAUCUUCUG
Molecule: non-coding RNA, 26 nt
Filed under: Homo sapiens (human)
Lineage: Eukaryota; Metazoa; Chordata; Mammalia; Primates; Hominidae
Source: RNAcentral